CCUACGGGAGGCAGCAGUGGGGGAUAUUGCACAAUGGGGGAAACCCUGAUGCAGCGAUGCCGCGUGAAUGAAGACGGCCUUCGGGUUGUAAAGUUCUGUCGCAGGGGACGAAAAUGACGGUACCCUGCAAGAAAGCUCCGGCUAACUACGUGCCAGCAGCCGCGGUAAUACGUAGGGAGCAAGCGUUGUCCGGAAUUACUGGGUGUAAAGGGAGCGUAGGCGGGAGGAUAAGUUGAAUGUGAAAUCUAUGGGCUCAACCCAUAGCUGCGUUCAAAUCUGUUCUUCUUGAGUGAAGUAGAGGCAGGCGGAAUUCCUAGUGUAGCGGUGAAAUGCGUAGAUAGUAGGAGGAACACCAGUGGCGAAGGCGGCAUGCCGGCUCCACACUGACGCUGAGGCACGAAAGCGUGGGUAUCGAACAGGAUUAGAUACCCCUGUAGUC
RNAcentral lists this ribosomal RNA (439 nucleotides) under uncultured bacterium. RNAcentral's name for it is "partial 16S ribosomal RNA". It matches the Rfam family "Bacterial small subunit ribosomal RNA", at positions 338 to 795 of the family's 1533-position model. The record is from RNAcentral.